CCUACGGGAGGCAGCAGUAGGGAAUCUUCCACAAUGGACGAAAGUCUGAUGGAGCAACGCCGCGUGAGUGAUGAAGGGCUUCGGCUCGUAAAGCUCUGUUGGCAGUGAAGAAAGAUAGAGGUAGUAACUGGCCUUUAUUUGACGGUAACUACUUAGAAAGUCACGGCUAACUCCGUGCCAGCAGCCGCGGUAAUACGUAGGUGGCAAGCGUUGACCGGAUUUAUUGGGCGUAAAGCGAUUGCAGGCGGUUCAAUAAGUCUGAUGUGAAAGCCUUCGGCUCAACCGGGGAAUUGCAUCAGAAACUGGUGAACUUGAGUGUAGAAGAGGAGAGUGGAACUCCAGGUGUAGGGGUGGAAUGCGUAGAUAUAUGGAAGAACACCAGUGGCGAAGGCGACUCUCUGGUCUGCAACUGACGCUGAGGCUCGAAAGCGUGGGUAGCGAACAGGAUUAGAUACCCGUGUAGUC
RNAcentral lists this ribosomal RNA (465 nucleotides) under uncultured bacterium. RNAcentral describes it as "partial 16S ribosomal RNA". It matches the Rfam family "Bacterial small subunit ribosomal RNA", at positions 338 to 795 of the family's 1533-position model. The record is from RNAcentral.